UCCUUCCCUUGACUCCUGGACUAUGCAUAACUGCAAAGGCGAUCUUAUACCCUUAACACCUACUAAAGGAAGGCCCAAAUCAAAUACCUAUUACUGCAACAAAAGUGUUUUAAAAUGUAUACUUUAAACACUUUUCUACUUGAGAAUGACUAAAGUACUAGGUAGACCUGGAUCCCAGUAAAAUAUAUGAGUUCACUAUUAUGUCCAAAUGAAGGAGGAAAAGAGCUGAAAUACAUAAAGAAAAUCCACCUCCUUCUUUGGAAGAGAUAUUUGGGCUUUACCAAGAGAAUGUCCAAACUACUGAGAUUCCUUUCUUCCUCACAAGUUGUUCCUUAUUAUGAAAGCUUUCUCAUUUUUAUCUUCUUAGUUGGGCUCAUAUGAUUUUUUUCUCUUCACUUCAUGUUUGCCUUCUCCCUGCUAAAUCAUUUCCAUCAUUAUAAAAAGCAUGAUCUAUUAUCUGCUAUUUUCUAUGUCUCUUUUUACUUCACAUUUUCUUGUAGCUACUGUGUCAUUUCUCUGUCCUCUUUGACAGCAAAACCAAUCAAAGCAUGUAUCUGUUUUCCCUUAUCCGAACAGCCUCAACAUUCAUCCAUUUCUCUCCUCUCCAAUUGGACCUCUAUGCUCACAGAUGCAUGGAAUUGUUCUUGGAAAGGUAACCAAUAACCUAUAAGUUCACAAAUUCAAGAAGUUUU
Molecule: long non-coding RNA, 692 nt
Filed under: Homo sapiens (human)
Lineage: Eukaryota; Metazoa; Chordata; Mammalia; Primates; Hominidae
Description: non-protein coding lnc-TFAP2D-4:2
Source: RNAcentral